RNAcentral lists this ribosomal RNA (618 nucleotides) under Sander canadensis (sauger). RNAcentral's name for it is "partial 16S ribosomal RNA". It matches the Rfam family "Bacterial large subunit ribosomal RNA", at positions 1797 to 2619 of the family's 2925-position model. The record is from RNAcentral. Lineage: Eukaryota; Metazoa; Chordata; Actinopteri; Perciformes; Percidae.
CGCCUGUUUUUACAAAAACAUCGCCUCUUGUAAAACAUAACAAAUAAGAGGUCCCGCCUGCCCUGUGACUAUUAGUUUAACGGCCGCGGUAUUUUGACCGUGCGAAGGUAGCGCAAUCACUUGUCUUUUAAAUGAAGACCUGUAUGAAUGGCAUAACGAGGGCUUAACUGUCUCCUCUUUCUAGUCAAUGAAAUUGAUCUUCCCGUGCAGAAGCGGGAAUAAUAACAUAAGACGAGAAGACCCUAUGAAGCUUUAGACACCAAGACAGAUCAUGCUAAACACCCCCUGAUAAGGGACUAAACCAAAUGAGCCCUGUCCUCAUGUCUUUGGUUGGGGCGACCGCGGGGAAACAAAAAACCCCCACGUGGAAUGGGAGUACCUCUCCUACAACUGUGAGUCCCAGCUCUAGUUAACAGAACUUCUGACCAAUAAGAUCCGGCAAUGCCGAUCAACGAACCGAGUUACUCUAGGGAUAACAGCGCAAUCCUCUUUUAGAGCCCCUAUCGACAAGAGGGUUUACGACCUCGAUGUUGGAUCAGGACAUCCUAAUGGUGCAGCCGCUAUUAAGGGUUCGUUUGUUCAACGAUUAAAGUCCUACGUGAUCUGAKUUCAGACCGG